AGCAGGCAGACAUCAACCAUCUGCCACCGAAUACAUUAGCAUGGGAUAAUGGAAUAGGACCCUGUCCUCCUAUUUUCAGUUGGUUUUCGAGGACCAGGGUAAUGAUUAAUAGGGAUAGUUGGGGGCAUUAAUAUUUAAUUGUCAGAGGUGAAAUUCUUGGAUUUAUGAAAGAUUAACUUCUGCGAAAGCAUCUGCCAAGGAUGUUUUCAUUAAUCAAGAACGAAAGUUAGGGGAUCGAAGACGAUCAGAUACCGUCGUAGUCUUAACCAUAAACGAUGCCGACCAGCGAUUAGGAGACGUUGAAUACAAAACACCACCAUCGGGCGGGUCGUCCCUGGCCGGUGUCGUCCGUCGCGGCAACGCGGCGGGCGGCCGGUGGGGGCGGUCCGUUUCCCCGAUGGCCCGGUGAAU
RNAcentral lists this ribosomal RNA (411 nucleotides) under Acanthamoeba sp. RNAcentral's name for it is "SSU rRNA". It matches the Rfam family "Eukaryotic small subunit ribosomal RNA", at positions 779 to 1097 of the family's 1831-position model. Lineage: Eukaryota; Discosea; Longamoebia; Acanthamoebidae. The record is from RNAcentral.